RNAcentral lists this transfer RNA (86 nucleotides) under Ehrlichia ruminantium str. Welgevonden. RNAcentral describes it as "tRNA-Tyr". It matches the Rfam family "tRNA". From Rfam's summary of the family: Transfer RNA (tRNA) molecules are approximately 80 nucleotides in length. Their secondary structure includes four short double-helical elements and three loops (D, anti-codon, and T loops). The record is from RNAcentral. Lineage: Bacteria; Pseudomonadati; Pseudomonadota; Alphaproteobacteria; Rickettsiales; Anaplasmataceae. RNAcentral also lists the same sequence under 1 other name.
GGAGGAGUGGCCGAGCGGUCAAAGGCAGCAGACUGUAAAUCUGCCCACUAGCGUGUACGUAGGUUCAAAUCCUACCUCCUCCACGU